RNAcentral lists this ribosomal RNA (253 nucleotides) under uncultured bacterium. RNAcentral describes it as "partial 16S ribosomal RNA". It matches the Rfam family "Bacterial small subunit ribosomal RNA", at positions 524 to 776 of the family's 1533-position model. The record is from RNAcentral.
UACGUAGGUGGCAAGCGUUGUCCGGAAUUAUUGGGCGUAAAGCGCGCGCAGGCGGUCCCUUAAGUCUGAUGUGAAAUCCCACGGCUCAACCGUGGAAGGUCAUUGGAAACUGGGGGACUUGAGUACAGAAGAGGAAAGUGGAAUUCCAAGUGUAGCGGUGAAAUGCGUAGAGAUUUGGAGGAACACCAGUGGCGAAGGCGGCUUUCUGGUCUGUAACUGACGCUGAGGCGCGAAAGCGUGGGGAGCAAACAGG